GAUGAAGAACGCAGCGAAAUGCGAUAAGUAAUGUGAAUUGCAGAAUUCGGUGAAUCAUCGAAUCUUUGAACGCACAUUGCGCCCGCCAGUAUUCUGGCGGGCAUGCCUGUUCGAGCGUCAUUUCAACCAUCAAGCCCCCGGCUUGUGUUGGGGACCUGCGGCUGCCGCAGGCCCUGAAAACCAGUGGCGGGCUCGCUAGUCACUCCGAGCGUAGUAAUACAUCUCGCUCAGGGCGUGCUGCGGGUUCCGGCCGUUAAAAGCCUUAUUUUACCCAAGGUUGACCUCGGAUCAGGUAGGAAGACCCGCUGAACUUAAGCAUAUCAAUAAGCGGAGGA
RNAcentral lists this unclassified non-coding RNA (335 nucleotides) under soil metagenome. RNAcentral describes it as "partial contains 5.8S ribosomal RNA, internal transcribed spacer 2, and large subunit ribosomal RNA". The stretch from base 1 to 120 matches the Rfam family "5.8S ribosomal RNA", at positions 35 to 154 of the family's 154-position model. The record is from RNAcentral.